RNAcentral lists this long non-coding RNA (1089 nucleotides) under Ficedula albicollis (Collared flycatcher). RNAcentral's name for it is "lncRNA (ENSFALG00000027713.1)". Lineage: Eukaryota; Metazoa; Chordata; Aves; Passeriformes; Muscicapidae. The record is from RNAcentral.
AUGGGUGGCACUGUGGGUGACAGCGUGGCUGUCGCUAUGGGUGUCACUCUGCAUGUCGCUAUGGCUGACACUGUAGGUGUCACUGUGGGUUACACUGUGGAUAUCACUGUGGGCGACACUGAAGGUGACACUGUGGGUAUGACUGUGCGUGUCACUGUGGUUGCCACUGUGGGUGUCACUCUGGGUGACCCUUUGGGUUACACUGUGGGUGUCACUGUGGGUUACACUCUGGGUGUCACUGUGCGUGUCACUGCGGGCAUCACUGACGGUUACACUCUGGGUGUCACUGUGGGUGUCACUGUGGGUGUCACUGUGGGUGGCACUCUGGGUGACCCUUUGGGUUACACUGUGGGUGUCACUAUGGAUGUCACUGUGGGUGUCACUGUGGGUUACACUCUGGGUGUCACUGUGCGUGUCACUGCGGGCAUCACUGACGGUUACACUCUGGGUGUCACUGUGGGUGUCACUAUGGGUUACACUGUGGGUGUCACUGUGGAUGUCACUGUGGGUGUCACUGCGGGUAUCACUGAGGGUUACACUCUGGGUGUCACUGUGGGUGUCACUACGGGUUACACUGUGGGUGUCACUAUGGGUUACACUGUGGGUGUCACUGUGGAUGUCACUGUGGGUGUCACUGCGGGUAUCACUGAGGGUUACACUCUGGGUGUCACUGUGGGUGUCACUACGGGUUACACUGUGGGUGUCACUAUGGGUUACACUGUGGGUGUCACUGUGGAUGUCACUGUGGGUGUCACUGCGGGUAUCACUGAGGGUUACACUCUGGGUGUCACUGUGGGUGUCACUACGGGUUACACUGUGGGUGUCACUAUGGGUUACACUGUGGGUGUCACUGUGGAUGUCACUGUGGGUGUCACUGCGGGUAUCACUGAGGGUUACACUCUGGGUGUCACUGUGGGUGUCACUAGAGGUGCUGCCCGCUGGCCCCGGAGGGGUGUCCCCAGCCCCCCGGUGACACUGUGCUGCCCAUGCUCAGGACAAGGACGGGCAGAAGCAGUGCGUGGCACACGGCGCUUUCCGGGGCCAGGGGGUUUAUGCCAUCGCCAGGUGCUGCACGUGGCCCAGGGCUGA